UCCCUGGUGGCUCAGAUGGUAAAGCAUCUGCCUGCAAUGUGGGCGACCCAGGUUCGAUCCCUGGAUUGGGAA
RNAcentral lists this transfer RNA (72 nucleotides) under Bos taurus (domestic cattle). It matches the Rfam family "tRNA". From Rfam's summary of the family: Transfer RNA (tRNA) molecules are approximately 80 nucleotides in length. Their secondary structure includes four short double-helical elements and three loops (D, anti-codon, and T loops). Further hydrogen bonds mediate the characteristic L-shaped molecular structure. tRNAs have two regions of fundamental functional importance: the anti-codon, which is responsible for specific mRNA codon recognition, and the 3' end, to which the tRNAs corresponding amino acid is attached (by aminoacyl-tRNA synthetases). tRNAs cope with the degeneracy of the genetic code in two manners: having more than one tRNA (with a specific anti-codon) for a particular amino acid; and 'wobble' base-pairing, i.e. permitting non-standard base-pairing at the 3rd anti-codon position. RNAcentral also lists the same sequence under 1 other name. Lineage: Eukaryota; Metazoa; Chordata; Mammalia; Artiodactyla; Bovidae. The record is from Rfam by way of RNAcentral.